This 1263-nucleotide ribosomal RNA is filed under the name Arthrobacter oryzae. RNAcentral's name for it is "bacterial SSU rRNA". It matches the Rfam family "Bacterial small subunit ribosomal RNA", at positions 121 to 1394 of the family's 1533-position model. The record is from RNAcentral. RNAcentral also lists the same sequence under 1 other name. Lineage: Bacteria; Bacillati; Actinomycetota; Actinomycetes; Micrococcales; Micrococcaceae.
GUAACCUGCCCUUAACUCUGGGAUAAGCCUGGGAAACUGGGUCUAAUACCGGAUAUGACUCCUCAUCGCAUGGUGGGGGGUGGAAAGCUUUUUGUGGUUUUGGAUGGACUCGCGGCCUAUCAGCUUGUUGGUGAGGUAAUGGCUCACCAAGGCGACGACGGGUAGCCGGCCUGAGAGGGUGACCGGCCACACUGGGACUGAGACACGGCCCAGACUCCUACGGGAGGCAGCAGUGGGGAAUAUUGCACAAUGGGCGAAAGCCUGAUGCAGCGACGCCGCGUGAGGGAUGACGGCCUUCGGGUUGUAAACCUCUUUCAGUAGGGAAGAAGCGAAAGUGACGGUACCUGCAGAAGAAGCGCCGGCUAACUACGUGCCAGCAGCCGCGGUAAUACGUAGGGCGCAAGCGUUAUCCGGAAUUAUUGGGCGUAAAGAGCUCGUAGGCGGUUUGUCGCGUCUGCCGUGAAAGUCCGGGGCUCAACUCCGGAUCUGCGGUGGGUACGGGCAGACUAGAGUGAUGUAGGGGAGACUGGAAUUCCUGGUGUAGCGGUGAAAUGCGCAGAUAUCAGGAGGAACACCGAUGGCGAAGGCAGGUCUCUGGGCAUUAACUGACGCUGAGGAGCGAAAGCAUGGGGAGCGAACAGGAUUAGAUACCCUGGUAGUCCAUGCCGUAAACGUUGGGCACUAGGUGUGGGGGACAUUCCACGUUUUCCGCGCCGUAGCUAACGCAUUAAGUGCCCCGCCUGGGGAGUACGGCCGCAAGGCUAAAACUCAAAGGAAUUGACGGGGGCCCGCACAAGCGGCGGAGCAUGCGGAUUAAUUCGAUGCAACGCGAAGAACCUUACCAAGGCUUGACAUGGGCCGGACCGGGCUGGAAACAGUCCUUCCCCUUUGGGGCCGGUUCACAGGUGGUGCAUGGUUGUCGUCAGCUCGUGUCGUGAGAUGUUGGGUUAAGUCCCGCAACGAGCGCAACCCUCGUUCCAUGUUGCCAGCGCGUAAUGGCGGGGACUCAUGGGAGACUGCCGGGGUCAACUCGGAGGAAGGUGGGGACGACGUCAAAUCAUCAUGCCCCUUAUGUCUUGGGCUUCACGCAUGCUACAAUGGCCGGUACAAAGGGUUGCGAUACUGUGAGGUGGAGCUAAUCCCAAAAAGCCGGUCUCAGUUCGGAUUGGGGUCUGCAACUCGACCCCAUGAAGUCGGAGUCGCUAGUAAUCGCAGAUCAGCAACGCUGCGGUGAAUACGUUCCCGGGCCUUGUACACACCGCC